CGCGUAGGCGGUCUCUUAAGUCAGAUGUGAAAGCCCGGGGCUUAACCUCGGAAAUGCAUUUGAAACUAAGGGACUUGAGUAUGGGAGAGGGAAGUGGAAUUCCUGGUGUAGCGGUGAAAUGCGUAGAUAUCAGGAGGAACACCGGUGGCGAAGGCGACUUCCUGGACCAAUACUGACGCUGAGGCGCGAAGGCGUGGGGAGCAAACAGGAUUAGAUACCCUGGUAGUCC
RNAcentral lists this ribosomal RNA (229 nucleotides) under uncultured bacterium. Its description in RNAcentral is "partial 16S ribosomal RNA". It matches the Rfam family "Bacterial small subunit ribosomal RNA", at positions 568 to 796 of the family's 1533-position model. The record is from RNAcentral.